GUAAGUGAGCAUAAUGGAAUUUGUUCUUGAGGAAGGCAAAACUCUCCCAUGGGGGAUUCUUCUUCUUCUCUGAUUCUGGUAAAUGGGUACAUGGGAGAGGAUCAGCUUAAGGAAGCACUAGAAGGAUCUGAUGUAGUUAUUCCAGCUGGUGUGCCGAGAAAACCUGGAAUUACUUGAGAUGAUCUGUUCAAUAUCAAUGUCGGCAUUGUUAAAACUCUGUGUACUGCUAUUGCAAAGUACUGCCCGAAUAUCCAACUGAUAGGGAACUUGCAGCCCUAACUGGUAGGCUCAUACCUUCUUCAACCUUGGGACAAGUAGUUCCAACCGGAAUGAUAAUGGUUAGUGAUCAAUGGAAACGAAUGC
This is a long non-coding RNA of Impatiens glandulifera, 363 nucleotides long. RefSeq lists it as uncharacterized. The record is from RefSeq and is a predicted model, not a curated record. The transcript is spliced from 3 exons. NCBI's taxonomy places the organism in Eukaryota, Viridiplantae, Streptophyta, Magnoliopsida, Ericales, Balsaminaceae.